This is a long non-coding RNA of Papaver somniferum (opium poppy), 1239 nucleotides long. RefSeq lists it as uncharacterized. The record is from RefSeq and is a predicted model, not a curated record. Lineage: Eukaryota; Viridiplantae; Streptophyta; Magnoliopsida; Ranunculales; Papaveraceae. The transcript is spliced from 3 exons.
UCAAGAUGAUCAAGCAGAAAAGAUUAUCAAUGCCGCAGAUGAGAACAAUGAAAACAUGCGUCAAACAAGUAUCUAGCUUCCGAUGAGUACUAACAUAACAUUGCGAGCCCCUCCAUGAAGUAAAAAAUCAAGCAAGAAUACUAGAAGAAAUCAAAUCAUCAAUAGAAAAGGUGAAGUGAAACAUCGGUGCAAAUCAGUAAUAAGGAAUGAAAAGCAAGCAAAGAAGCCCAGUGAAACCAAACCAAUAAAGAAACCUACCAAAUCUAAACCAGUAACAUGGAAAAGAAAAAGAAAUACUAGGCAUGAGCCAGCGAUGGAGAAAGAAAAAGAAAAAAAAUAAAACUCAAAUGAAAGUGAUUCAGAUGUAGAAGAAGUAAUAUACAGUGAUUCAGAUGUUGAAGAAGUAACCCUUUCCGGUUCCAUACCGCCGAGUGCUUUGUAGGUUGAUAAAAAAUGGCAUUAGUGCUUCAUUACUGGGAACUUCAACUCUACAGCAAGAUUCCAUGUCGUCGAUCCCUUACUACUGUCCACAACUUCGUGUUGAGGAACUAGUAACAUUAGACGGUAAAAGAACUCAUAACCUUGUCGAAAACCAAAGCUUAUUAGCAGUUGUGCUGGACUAAUGCUAUUCGAGAUUGUGUUAGCACGUGUCCAGGUUUAUGGUCGCAUGUGUCGCUGAUGGUUUCCUGUGUCGCAGACAGUGCUACCCAGUAACGUCAUUGAAAGGAUAUAAGGAUUGUGCCGUGUUUUGUGUAUUCUGUAGACUUGAUGUCACGAGCCUUACUAAUCUAAUUUAACCUUUAUGACAACAUAUUUUGUAUUGAGAACUCCAAAAAUUUCUAAUGUUUAAUUAUUUUUGGAAUGGUUUGAAAUUGGUAGUCAUUGUAAUGGUUCGGUCCUCUCCCGGCAGUGAAGUAGGCUUAAAAUGGUAUUCUGGUGAAACUAUUGCUGCAGUGUUUUGCAGUAGUUCUUGCUUUGCAAAAAUGCGCAGUCACUGUUUUCGGUGAUCUGCAAUGCAAGUAGGCUACGAGAUUGGCAUUUGCAACUUAGAAUAUGUCUCUGCCGCAUUUUUUUUUUUUGUCUCUGCAGCAUUUGUUCAUACUGUUGCAAGUCUUGUUCUCCCAUUGCAAACUGCUAUAGUCACUGUUUCUUGAUCUGCAGUCCAGUAUGUUAUGAGUUUGGAGUCUAUACCUUAGAUUCUGUACUUGCAGUGUAUUAUAUAUAGCAUACUUGCAUUGG